This 492-nucleotide ribosomal RNA is filed under the name uncultured bacterium. RNAcentral's name for it is "partial 16S ribosomal RNA". It matches the Rfam family "Bacterial small subunit ribosomal RNA", at positions 29 to 507 of the family's 1533-position model. The record is from RNAcentral.
AGUGAACGCUGGCGGUAGGCCUAACACAUGCAAGUCGAACGGCAGCACAGUAAGAGCUUGCUCUUACGGGUGGCGAGUGGCGGACGGGUGAGGAAUACAUCGGAAUCUACUUUUUCGUGGGGGAUAACGUAGGGAAACUUACGCUAAUACCGCAUACGACCUACGGGUGAAAGCAGGGGAUCUUCGGACCUUGCGCGAUUGAAUGAGCCGAUGUCGGAUUAGCUAGUUGGCGGGGUAAAGGCCCACCAAGGCGACGAUCCGUAGCUGGUCUGAGAGGAUGAUCAGCCACACUGGAACUGAGACACGGUCCAGACUCCUACGGGAGGCAGCAGUGGGGAAUAUUGGACAAAGGGCGCAAGCCUGAUGCAGCCAUACCGCGUGGGUGAAGAAGGCCUUCGGGUUGUAAAGCCCUUUUGUUGGGAAAGAAAAGCAGCAGGUUAAUACCCCGCUGUCCUGACGGUACCCAAAGAAUAAGCACCGGCUAACUUCGUG